GCGUCCGUGGUCUAGUGGUUAGGACUGGAGCCCUCCAAGCUCCAUACGUGGGUUCGAAUCCCACCGGACGCA
RNAcentral lists this transfer RNA (72 nucleotides) under Candidatus Iainarchaeum sp. Its description in RNAcentral is "tRNA-Gly". It matches the Rfam family "tRNA". Rfam says of the family: Transfer RNA (tRNA) molecules are approximately 80 nucleotides in length. Their secondary structure includes four short double-helical elements and three loops (D, anti-codon, and T loops). Further hydrogen bonds mediate the characteristic L-shaped molecular structure. tRNAs have two regions of fundamental functional importance: the anti-codon, which is responsible for specific mRNA codon recognition, and the 3' end, to which the tRNAs corresponding amino acid is attached (by aminoacyl-tRNA synthetases). tRNAs cope with the degeneracy of the genetic code in two manners: having more than one tRNA (with a specific anti-codon) for a particular amino acid; and 'wobble' base-pairing, i.e. permitting non-standard base-pairing at the 3rd anti-codon position. Lineage: Archaea; Nanobdellati; Candidatus Iainarchaeota; Candidatus Iainarchaeia; Candidatus Iainarchaeales; Candidatus Iainarchaeaceae. The record is from RNAcentral.